This 301-nucleotide ribosomal RNA is filed under the name uncultured bacterium. Its description in RNAcentral is "partial 16S ribosomal RNA". It matches the Rfam family "Bacterial small subunit ribosomal RNA", at positions 509 to 807 of the family's 1533-position model. The record is from RNAcentral.
CAGUCGCCACGGUAAUACAGAGGGUGCAAGCGUUAAUCGGAAUUACUGGGCGUAAAGCGCGCGUAGGUGGUUUGUUAAGUUGGAUGUGAAAUCCCCGGGCUCAACCUGGGAACUGCAUCCAAAACUGGCAAGCUAGAGUAUGGUAGAGGGUGGUGGAAUUUCCUGUGUAGCGGUGAAAUGCGUAGAUAUAGGAAGGAACACCAGUGGCGAAGGCGACCACCUGGACUGAUACUGACACUGAGGUGCGAAAGCGUGGGGAGCAAACAGGAUUAGAUACCCCCGUAGUCCCUGUCUCUUAUAC